This 395-nucleotide unclassified non-coding RNA is filed under the name uncultured fungus. RNAcentral's name for it is "partial contains small subunit ribosomal RNA, internal transcribed spacer 1, and 5.8S ribosomal RNA". The stretch from base 1 to 73 matches the Rfam family "Eukaryotic small subunit ribosomal RNA", at positions 1759 to 1831 of the family's 1831-position model. The record is from RNAcentral. Lineage: Eukaryota; Fungi.
GCAAACUUGGUCAUUUAGAGGAAGUAAAAGUCGUAACAAGGUUUCCGUAGGUGAACCUGCGGAAGGAUCAUUAUUGAAUAAACUUAGUGGGUUGUCGCUGGCUCCUCGGAGCAUGUGCACGCCUGCUGACUUUAUCCAUCCACCUGUGCACCUUCUGUAGUCUCAGAAAACAAGAGUGGCUUAAGCCUCGACUGGUCUCUGACCUGUUGGAUUUGGGCAAUGCUGCGUGUCAAGCGUGGCCUCUCCCUAACAAGUUGCAAUUGUUUCCGGACUAUGAUUUUUCAUAUACCAAUGUAGUAUGUUGCAGAAUGUAUCAAUGGGCCUAUGUGCCUAUAAAACUCAAUACAACUUUCAGCAACGGAUCUCUUGGCUCUCGCAUCGAUGAAGAACGCAGC